RNAcentral lists this ribosomal RNA (253 nucleotides) under uncultured bacterium. RNAcentral's name for it is "partial 16S ribosomal RNA". It matches the Rfam family "Bacterial small subunit ribosomal RNA", at positions 524 to 776 of the family's 1533-position model. The record is from RNAcentral.
UACGUAGGGUGCGAGCGUUGUCCGGAAUUAUUGGGCGUAAAGAGCUCGUAGGCGGUCUGUCGCGUCUGCUGUGAAAACUCGGGGCUUAACCCCGGGCCUGCAGUGGGUACGGGCAGACUAGAGUGCGGUAGGGGAGACUGGGAUUCCUGGUGUAGCGGUGAAACGCGCAGAUAUCAGGAGGAACACCGGUGGCGAAGGCGGGUCUCUGGGCCGUAACUGACGCUGAGGAGCGAAAGCAUGGGGAGCGAACAGG